This is a long non-coding RNA of Leopardus geoffroyi (Geoffroy's cat), 1365 nucleotides long. RefSeq lists it as uncharacterized. Lineage: Eukaryota; Metazoa; Chordata; Mammalia; Carnivora; Felidae. The record is from RefSeq and is a predicted model, not a curated record. The transcript has 5 exons.
GGGAGGAAGAUCUUCAAUGGGCACCUGUUCUAAAGUUCCCUGGGAAUGUGGACAUUCUCCUCUUGAGAAGGUAUAAUGAAGGUUUGGCUCGUCCCUCCAGUCUCACAACAUCAUUUGAUUUCUACAUGGGAGGAAGAAAAUGUAUGGGUGUUUCAUUACCUGAGAUUCAAAGGUUAACUCUCUGCAGGGAAAAAUUAUGAAAAAUCUGAAUGUUUAAAUGAAGACAAAACAGGUUAUUAUCUUCUCAAUAGAAGUACAGAAGCAAAGAAUUUUCAACAAUGAAAGCCUGAUCUAAACUGAAUACUCAGUUUACUCACAAUUUUAAGCUGGAACCGUUUCCAAGGAAGCAGCGUGAGAGAGCAUGGUGUUAUUGGGACCGUCUGGAUGCUAUAUGUGACUGAAUCCAGUUAAGGCCUCUAUACAAACUUAAGAUUCUGGUGGGCGAGUGCAGAGAUCCACUCACCUUGUAGCUGCCCAGGACAAGCCUCAUAUGAUGCAGCAGACCUCAGACUCCACCGCAUCUACGGGGAUGAAUCUCUCAGAAGCUCAAGCUGCACCAAGCCGUCCCAGGCUCCUCCCUCUCAGGCUCCUCAUUGGCUGGCAGAGCGGUGGGACCUUGGAAUCCUCGCUGCCUCCCUUUGAACCUUGGAAAUGAGGAGAGAGCAAAACGAAUUACAUCCUUAACCGGGAGUUCAAAGAGUUAAAUGUCUAUUUUUGGAGAGGUCGAAUCAGGGCAGCUGCUGGCGACAAAACCUGCCCUUGCUACUGAGCAUGCUCAGCGUCACUUAGAAACCCACAGAAGUUUCAGGAUAUACGUCUCUUCUCUAAGGUUUUAGUGGAUACCACAAGAAGAGCAAAAAGGAAGGGAGAUUUUCAAGAGCUGUAAAACGAGAUGAGGGAGAAGGAACGAGGGAAAUGGGGGAGGAGGGACAAGAGUGUCAACAUAAAGAGUCUGAAAAGAGUAUUGAAUGAAUCUAAAAUGGAGAGAAAAGAAAGUGACAAGUGUGGAGGCCACUGGAAAAAACAAAGUAUCAAAUACUUAGAUACGAUCUUUGGUGCCACUGCCCCAACCCCCAUUUUGUUUUUUUCUGUGAUUCCACAUGAAGUCCUAGAACCUAUCAGACAAGUUGUAAUUGAGGAUAUUCCUUUUUGUGGGUUUUUUGUUUUGUUUUCUUUUGGGGGGGGUUGUUUGUUUUUGGUAAAUAGAAGUCUUCUGUAGUAUAAAAAAUAAUUAUUUGCUAUACUCCCAUCCGUAUGUUUACUUGUCCUUAUAGUAAAAAUCUUCCAACUCCAUAACGGCUAUUUUUAGCAAUGGAGCAUAUUUAUUUACAAUGUAACUAUUAAAUAAACGAGUGCAAGGUUUCA